This 253-nucleotide ribosomal RNA is filed under the name uncultured bacterium. RNAcentral's name for it is "partial 16S ribosomal RNA". It matches the Rfam family "Bacterial small subunit ribosomal RNA", at positions 524 to 776 of the family's 1533-position model. The record is from RNAcentral.
GACGAACCACCCAAACGUUAUUCGGAAUUACUGGGCUUAAAGGGUGCGUAGGCUGUGCGGAAAGUUGGGUGUGAAAUACCUCAGCUUAACUGAGGAACGGCGCUCAAAACUACCGUGCUGGAGGGAGACAGAGGUGAGCGGAACUUAGGGUGGAGCGGUGAAAUGCGUAGAGAUCGGGAGGAACACCAGCGGCGAAGGCGGCGACCUGGACAGGUACUGACACUCAACUACGAAAGCGUGGGGAGCAAACAGG